This 154-nucleotide small nuclear RNA is filed under the name Blastobotrys adeninivorans. Its description in RNAcentral is "U4". It matches the Rfam family "U4 spliceosomal RNA". From Rfam's summary of the family: U4 small nuclear RNA (U4 snRNA) is a component of the major U2-dependent spliceosome. The structure of U4 snRNA from yeast and human has been reported. The record is from RNAcentral. Lineage: Eukaryota; Fungi; Ascomycota; Dipodascomycetes; Dipodascales; Trichomonascaceae.
AUCUUUAUGCUCGGGCAUUACGCAUAUCAGUGAGGAUUCGUCCGAGAUUGUGUAUUUGCUGGUUGAAAACUUUAACCUGACCGCUCCUGAAUGCGAACCCUUGUGGUUUGCGUGCAGGGAAUUUUUGGACCCUUUUCUCCCUUUUUGCUCAGGG